GAUGAACGCUAGCGGCAGGCUUAACACAUGCAAGUCGAGGGGCAGCGGGAUGUAGCAAUACAUUGCCGGCGACCGGCGCAAGGGUGCGUAACGCGUGAGCAACUUGCCCGUUUCUGGGGAAUAACCGGUGGAAACGCCGACUAAUACCCCAUAGCAUCAACUUUGGGCAUCCUUAGUUGAUUAAAGAACUUCGGAAACGGAUAGGCUCGCGUGACAUUAGCUAGAUGGCGGGGUAACGGCCCACCAUGGCUACGAUGUCUAGGGGUUCUGAGAGGAAGGUCCCCCACACUGGAACUGAGACACGGUCCAGACUCCUACGGGAGGCAGCAGUGAGGAAUAUUGGUCAAUGGUCUGACGACUGAACCAGCCAUGCCGCGUGAAGGUCACGGCCCUAUGGGUCUUAAACUUCUUUUGUAAGGGAGCAAUAAGCUUUACGUGUAGAGUGAUGAGAGUACCUUACGAAUAAGCAUCGGCUAACUCCGUG
Molecule: ribosomal RNA, 484 nt
Filed under: uncultured bacterium
Lineage: Bacteria
Description: bacterial SSU rRNA
Rfam family: Bacterial small subunit ribosomal RNA
Source: RNAcentral